CAUUGAUCCAAUGCCAACUCCAAGACUGGAACGUCGCAAUGAUAGUUCCAAGGCGGAAAUUUGACGUAAUUCUUUUCGACACAGUUUUACAGGUGUGACACCAUGAAGUCGUCCCACAUUUCCCACAACCUGAAUUUGGGAUGACAGUCGACUGUGAGAUUUUGUAAACUGAUUAUCAUCUGUUUCUGUUUUAUUCUCAUUACCUAACAUAUGCCCACUGGGGGGUGCUAAAGAACUAUGAAUUGGAGGUCUGGAUGCCCAUUUUAAUUCUUCUGAAAGCAUGCCUCCUCCUUCUGGCUUCAGGACUCCAUCUCCAGCCUCUUGAUCUAAAAAUAAUCCCCAAACCAAAAAAUUAGAUACUAUUUCCUCAAAAUUAGGUAUUUUAAUCAAAACAUCUUAACAUAAAUACAUUAUUAUCACCCAA
Molecule: long non-coding RNA, 424 nt
Organism: Homo sapiens (human)
Lineage: Eukaryota; Metazoa; Chordata; Mammalia; Primates; Hominidae
Source: Ensembl